RNAcentral lists this ribosomal RNA (253 nucleotides) under Blastocystis sp. RNAcentral describes it as "partial small subunit ribosomal RNA". It matches the Rfam family "Eukaryotic small subunit ribosomal RNA", at positions 19 to 291 of the family's 1831-position model. Lineage: Eukaryota; Bigyra; Opalinata; Blastocystidae. The record is from RNAcentral.
AGUAGUCAUACGCUCGUCUCAAAGAUUAAGCCAUGCAUGUGUAAGUAUAAAUAGUUAACUUUGAAACUGCGAAUGGCUCAUUAUAUCAGUUAUAGUUUAUUUGAUGAAGAAUACUAAUUGGAUAACCGUAGUAAUUCAUAGAGCUAAUACAUGUAUAAAGUCUUGUAGACUGCAUUUAUUAGAAUGAAAACCAUAGGUUUCGGCCUAUUCGUGAGUAAUAAUAACUAAUCAUAUCGUAUGCUUAUGUAACGAU